GCGUCGCGCGAGACCUGCGACCGCGUACGCGCCGCCCUCCCGCCCGGCAGCGGGGACUUUCCCGCCUCAGGGUCGCGGCUGGUGGCGGCCGUCUCCUCCCCGUCCCCGGUAGGAGCGCGAGCGGAUUUAGAGUCCUCGGAAGUCCGCCGUGCCGUCCGGCCACGGGUAGAGGGAGGCAAAGAGAAGGAGGACUUGACAGUGGGCCCGUGGGGGGCCAUUCGGUAAACUCCGGAGAGACGAGGGUCCUGAGUGGGAGGGAGCCACGGGCUCGCGAGGAGGCUGCGAGGCGUUCCUCGGCCUUUCGGGAUGUGAUGCUCGCCCGGGAAGGGGCUGUGGGGACCGCAGAGCCGUGACUCGCCCGGGACCCAGAGCAGAAGCGCCAGGUCGCUUCUGGCAUUUUACCUGCAAAAGCAGAUGAGCACACGAGCCCAGAGAGCUGAUUUCCCCCGGUCGCACAGCUAGAGAGCCCAGGAUGGCUUCUUGCUCAGUGCCAUACUCCGUGAAAGUUACUGGAGAGACGGGCCAGAUUCUACAGAGCAUACCUCUGGACUUCUGUCCGCAGAAAGCAGUUUCUACACAGCUAACUUAGAACAGAAGGGAGAGGAAGUGAUGAAGAGGAUUAACACCCUGCUUCUAAUUCUGGCCAACUCAGAGGCUCUGCACGGAAAGUCAGAAGUGACAGGAAUCCUGGAAGAGGGCCACCUGGCCAUCAGAAAAUUCCAGAGGGAUGUGGUCACUGCCAGACAUACAGUCGCUCCAGAAUUUUUCCCGGACUCCCCCCCAGCCCGCCGUGGUGCACUAACCCCUUCAGGCUGUGUUCAUGCUGCCAACCCAAGUCCUCUCCCUGCAAUCCAACCGAAUCCCGAGCCUCAGCUCCCAAAGUCAACUUUUGACAACCAAAUCUGGACAACAGUUUGACUCAUAUGUAUACAGUAAAAUAUUGGCCGUUUCAUCCGUAAAUGUUCUUUAAACUAACCGGAAGUGGGCCUGGCUCUAAGCUACUGCCAAGUCUCCCCUGUCGUUGGUUUUCCUGUGUGUGUAAAGGAAGGCGUGAGGAAAAGAAAAGGACACCCCUGUCACAGCUGGAGCAUACUGAAGAUCUCCCAGUUUUGCAAAAUACAUGCAAGGGGGACUAUAAGAUGGAACAGAGCUCUGAUUAUCCAUACUUAUUCAUUCAUGGCCGGUGUUAUCUAAUAUUAAUAAAGCAAACAAAUGCAAUGCAAAAUGGUCUUUCAGGAUCACAGUUCCCUAGCGCCAGAAAGGGAGAUACCCAUUCACUGCAAAAGGAAAAUCCCAACCAAUGCUCGACCCCAGGCGAAACCCAACACAGUAGGGAAGGAUACCCUGUUACCGAAGACGUUUCCACUGACCAGUGCAUACUGAUACGCACACAUACAACAACUGUGACUCUGCUUCCAUGCUGGAACCUGGGUGCCCUGGAAGUGUUCUUCAUCCAUCUCUGGAUGGCCUGCUACACGUAUGCAUUCCAUGACCAGUGCAGUGUGCUUAUGAUGAGCGGGUGCGUAUAAUAAACUACUGGAAAUCGCUGAGGUUUUGAUCCUCCCUGAAUACAGAAAGUUUGACUCCUGUCAGCCAUAGUCUCUGUUUAAAAUACUUAGGAGCUGGUUUCCACAGCGGUCUGCCAAGCCUUCCAUGACGGAUGGCGGCAGCCACGCCGAGUCGGGGGCACUUCACUCACUGUGGACGUGCGGGGCCGGGGCACGUGUUGCUGCUUCUCACACCAGGUCGAGGAGCCAAGACUGUGCUGUGAGAAGAGUAGGAAGCCACUCGAGGACACGCCGAAUUUCCGUCUCCAGUCUGAGGGUUACGGACAGGGAUGUCCAGCAUCGUCUUUGUCAGGGGCUCCUCUGUUGAAGCCGUUUGCCUGUUAGUAUCCGGGCUUCCCUGGGGAUGUGUCCUUUACACUAGUUCUCUCACUUUCAGAGCCGCUGUCGUGACUGGUCACCCAGGUACGACACAGGUAUUUCUAUCCAUCCGCCCCACACCAAAGCCCUCCCGUAUCCUGGGCAGGAAGGGCCGCCGGGGUCCUUUAGAACCUGACACUGAUACCUGCAGGGAGGGGCCUGAUCCUAAAAUACACGAGAGGAUCCAGCACCGAACACCCGGGUGAUGCCAUCGUGAGAAAUUCGGGAAAUGCCGCUUGAGGUAACGGGUCUAUCAGUGGUGCUCCGCCUCCAUCCUUAGAGGCACGAUGUUCCCUGCAAGCCUGCCUGCCUGCUCCACAGUAAAGGAAGCGAAACAAUAAAUACGGGUGCACUGCCCUGCCCUGUGGGAAGCGCUCGCGUACCCAGCCCUUGAUGCCCAGACCGGUCCCUGCCUCGCCUCCCGUCUCCUCCGCUCCGGCCAUCCCGAGCCGUGUCGCCGGCGGCACCAUUACCGACCCUCCUCCUCACUGUGGGAAGUCCCUCAGGCAUCCCAGGCCCUCCCGGGACGUCCAGGCCCCACGGCUUUCCUGUAACACCCUCCCUUCCACCAAACUGCUCUUCGGUAGGUCUGCGAACGCCUCGUACCACGUCUGCGCACCAGCACGGGGGGUGGAGCCCUCUCCCCGCUCUUGGUCCAGCCUCGCCCUCCCUUCCAGGCCCCCGAUUGCGUGGCCCCCAACGCGCUCUGCUCACUCACAGGGGACCGGGGUGCUUCUGUCCUGGUGCCGCGCUUGGCGUGCGCUGUGCCUCGUCGGGCGGGAGACGGUUCUCCAAGGGCCUCUCCUGUGUCUGACAUCUUGCGGGCGGAGACGCUGACACCUCGGUUCUGGAUGGACCGUCUUUACAAGGACGCUACACGGUGGACAGCCUGCAACCUCGGAGAUGGAGGUUCCCUCUGGAGAACGGGCGGCAGCCUUACUUCCCAUCGUGCAAGCUUUGCCUGCCUUGGUCUCCAGGUUCCUCUCCUGUAAUGCCACCCGCUGCCGUUCAGUCGCCAUGUGGCCACCUGAGUCACCCUGCGGGAACUGGGGAACUAGCACCAGAAAAGACGCACCCAGACUACUGCUAUAAUUAAGUCCUUUAUCUCUGACCCAGGGUCCUGCGUCUCCUGCCAGCACCCAGGACACGGGCGGGCUAGCUCCUCACUCAACAAGUGGGGGAAAAUCUCGGCCCUUUCACAGCUCUUGACAGGACCUUACUCUGGGAGUCUCAUCUCCCCCAAAUGAGAAAGUCAAGGGUAGAGACAGGAAUCCUGUAUUAUAUUUCCUAACACCUCUGAUGUUUCCCCUACACAUUCUAGUACACAGUAAGGCUUUUUGAUGAUGAAAUAAAUGACAUUGAUAAUAAAGGCAAAUAAUCAUA
Molecule: long non-coding RNA, 3308 nt
Organism: Mesoplodon densirostris (Blainville's beaked whale)
Lineage: Eukaryota; Metazoa; Chordata; Mammalia; Artiodactyla; Ziphiidae
Exons: 8
Source: RefSeq, a predicted model, not a curated record